Molecule: long non-coding RNA, 4639 nt
Filed under: Daucus carota (carrot)
Lineage: Eukaryota; Viridiplantae; Streptophyta; Magnoliopsida; Apiales; Apiaceae
Description: long non-coding RNA (DCAR_LNC002673)
Source: RNAcentral
AGAGAGAGUAACGGAGAGAGGAGGUCGCCGGAGCCUUCUCAGGCCGGCGGCAGUGGCGGCGAAGAUUAGGAAGAAGGAGAUGGAAUGAGGAAGAUGGGGGACAGUUUUGUAAUUUAACGCUUUCUGAUAAAUAAUUCGCUGGGAACUAAUUUGAUGUCGGAUUGUAAAAUAAAAUUCAUAUUUGGAUUCCUUGUGAAAAGUUAGAUGGAAUGAGCUUUUGAAUCAAAUGAUUUGGAUGAAAAAUAAGGGAGUUAUGAGUGGUCAAAGUUUGGCCAUGGGUGUUGACUUCGGGGAGAGAGAAACUAGAUGAGUAUGUUGGAGAAGAUGAUGACGUGGCAUCUUCUGAUUGGUUAGAAUAUUGAAAAUUAGUAUUUAAUUAAUUUGAGAGAUUAAACGAGGAAAUUAGUAAAAGUGUAAAACAUGAAAGUUUAAAUAUUUCGGAUUUAAUGGUAAAACCUAAUUUUGGGUUCGAGAGAUAUUAAAUUAAUUUAUAUUAUGGUUGAUUUAAUAAAUAGUUAGUUAAAUUGGAGGAUUUAGUUAAUAAUUGAAUAAAACGAAUAGUUUAGAAAAAUGAGACUUUUGGGAUAGUAACAUGAGUUAGUAAGGAAUAUUUUGCUUAAAUUAAUAAUAAGAGGAGAAUAAAUGAGAAAUGAUCUAAUAGUAAUAUAAAAUGAGGAAUUAUAAGUAGAUUUUACGAGAUCAUCGUUUUAAGAUAAGAUUCUAAUGUAUUAUUUUGUGACAUAGAAGAUUGAUUAUCUGGAAGGCGAGCUUGAUUAGUCAACUUAAAUUGGAACGUGGUGCGCUGUAAGUAUAUACUGUACCCUUCACUGUGAUAUUUUAUGAUGUUUCGGUGAACAUUUUAUUGAUGAUUUUCUGAUGAGAAAUGAGUAUUCUUACAUUUGUUCUGUGUGUGAUGCUUCCUUUGUGAAGUAAAGUAUGAUACUUCCUCCGGGAAGGAAAGCUAAACCAAUUGUUUAGCUGGCCGGGAUCCCCAACAGUAGAAUCUGUGAACUUUUGAACGUGUCUGAAUACUCAUACUCAUCUUCUUGUGUGAAACUGUUUCGAUGACUCUGAUGAAAUAUUGAUUUGGUUCACCAAGUUUUGUGAAUAAAACUCAAUUAAAAUGUACGUAUAUGCUUACUGAGCUUUAUAAGCUCAUCCCUUUUUAUGUACUAACCUUACAGGGAAGAAUUCUGGAGAAGGAUACUCAGGCAAGGGUAAAAGUGUGAGGAAUCGAAAUGCUAGACUUGGUUGGAUUUGCAAGUAGAAGUUUAGUAAAAGUAUUAUGUAAUCGAAAGAAAUAUUUGUGAACUUUUUGAAGAGUGAUGUAAGACUCUGAUGUAAGGUAAAAUAUGCCUUUAAGUUAUAUUAAGUUUGAGAUUAUGAAGAUAUAUUUCGGUGUGUUCAGUAGAAUGACACCCCCGGGUCGGGUUGUUGAGGUCAUCCCGGGUCGGGGGCGUCACAGGUGGUAUCAGAGCUGUAGGUUCAAGAAUCUGCGAAAGUAGGAUUAAAAUAUUAAGACUAGUGUGAUUUUAAGUUAGAAAAGAGGUCUAGAGAAUAUAUGGAUACUUGUCGUGAAUGUGUGGAAUAGACUAUGUGUCUAUAUAUACUAUAGUUGGAACCCUUAGAGUUUAAGGGACGGUAGAUCCCGUUGAGGCCAAGAUAUGGCUAAGAGAAAGGAAGACUUUUGAAAUAGUUGGUGUAGAAGAGGAUAAGAAAAUUAUCCUUGGUGCUUAUUGCUUAAUGGAGAGGCUAAUUAUUUGUGAGAAGCUAAGCAAGUUAUAGAAGAAUCUAGUGUGAUAUAGAAAUAACUGACCAGGAAGUAAUUAUAGUAGAUAAGGUUUGUCCUAGUUGUAAGAUAACCGUUCAAAAGAAAAUCUUUGAGAAAAAUUUUAUUUUCUUGAUAUUUUUCAAUCCGAUUGGGAUGAACAACCCUAAUCAUAGGGGACACAAGGUAUACCUGUCUGUGUGAUAGGAGUUGGAUGGGACGCCAUCACUUGUGUGUGUUGUGAUUACAAGAAGGUUAACAACCUUUAGUAGUGUCUUAAUUUAGACACGCAACACUUAGUUCAUUUGAUCAUAUUGGUCUCCCAGUCAUCCUUUUUAUUUCAAAUGAAAGUUAUUUGGAAACUCAUUGAUCGAUGAUUACCAUUGUGAAAGACUUCUAUAUAUUCAAGAAAGUUUUCAAAAUUCUUAUUUCCUUUGAGUUCUUUUCAAAAUGCUCAGAUUUCAAAUCCUUUGAUUUUGGUUAUUUUCAAAAAUAUAGUUUGUUUUGAAAAAGUGCUUUAAGAAAGUGUUGUAUGAUAACAUCAGAUCCAGACCCACGAAUUUGAAGGCUGCUGCAUAUAUUAUUGAGAAUUAAAUAAGAUGACCCUUGACCUACGGUUGAUGAUUUGUUUGACCAAUUGAAGGAAACAUCUUACUUUUCUAAGAUAUACUUGAGGUCUGGAUAACAUCAGUUAUAUAUUAGGCUUGAACCUAAGGCGGCCUUUAGGACCCGACAUGAACAUUAUGAGUUCUUAAGAGAUGCCUUUCGGACUGACUAAGGCACCUAUAUAACAUUUAUCAACCUUAUGAAUAAGAUGUGUUCUUAUACAACAUGAAAAAGUGAUAGCAUAUGCUUCUAAGACAACUUAAGAACUACGAAUUGAUAUACCUUACCCAUGAUCUCGAGUUGGCUGCUACAGUAUUUGCAAUAAAGAGUCAGUGACAUUAUUUGUGUGAUGAGAAAUGUGAGAUAUUUACGGAGUAUAAGAGUUAAAAUACUCAUUUACUCAAAAGGAGUUAAUAUGAGACAAAAAGAUGGUUAGAAUUAAUAAAGGAUUAUGACUGUAUGAUUAAUUAUCAUCAAAGGAAAGCAAAUGUAGGUUCUGAUGCAUUAAAUAGAAAAGAAAGAGUUAUAUUAUGUCUUUAUGAAAGAAAUUUUAAGGAAACAGAAAAGUUAGGAUUAGAGAUUAGGAAUUCAGAGCAUAAGGAGGGAAGGAUUUAUGAGAUGUUAGUACAACCAGAGUUAAUAGAAGCUAUGUGAGAAUUAGAAGAUGUAAUGAGAAGAAGCUACUCAGAGUUGUUUAGCACCAAUCGGGAUUCCGAGGACGGAAUCCUUUUAAGGAGGGAAGAAUGUAACAUCCGUGAAAUUUACAAUACGUAAAAAUACAAUUAUUUGAUUUAAUUAUUUAUUAUGCAAAAAGGACUAUUUUAUUAGUCUCGGAUUUAAUAAAAUUUAUAAUGCCGGAAAUAUUAAGGUUGUAGUUGUAAGAUUUCUAGAAAACGUGAAAUAGUUGUUGGUGUGGACCGGUCGUUUAAUUUAAAUAGGUACGUUAACACGAGAUCUUCGUUUAUACGAAAAGUAUAGUUGACGCGAAUAUUUAUAUAUUUACCGAAUCGUGAAUAAAUAUUACGUUCUGGCCGAGGUGAUUAUUUUAUAAAUUUGAGGAUUGGCUAGAAAAUAUUUAAAAUAGUUAAUAUUAUUUUGUAUGAUAUAUAAUUAUUUUAAAUUCGCGUUUAUUAAGAUCGAUACGAGAAUAACCGAGCCGAGCCAGAAUUAUUAAAAUAUUAACGGGACGGACUUGGAGCCCAAGUCUAUUACUUGGCGCCCACGAAUUAUACUUGGGGACAAAGCAACUUUAUUAAUAAACUAUAUGUUAAUUAGUAAUUAACUCUUAAUGGUCAGAAGAUUAGUUAUGGUAUAAAAACAAAACAAACGUGAGAAUUUGCAAGAGUGCAGAGGAAAAAGAAACUAAAGUGAGUGAAAAAAAAAAAAAAANNNNNNNNNNNNNNNNNNNNNNNNNNNNNNNNNNNNNNNNNNNNNNNNNNNNNNNNNNNNNNNNNNNNNNNNNNNNNNNNNNNNNNNNNNNNNNNNNNNNNNNNNNNNNNNNNNNNNNNNNNNNNNNNNNNNNNNNNNNNNNNNNNNNNNNNNNNNNNNNNNNNNNNNNNNNNNNNNNNNNNNNNNNNNNNNNNNNNNNAAAAAAUGAUCAUAAUAUUCUUAAUUCACUGUAUAAAUAAGCAAAAAGGCCACUGUCUAGAAGAAGACACACAUCAAUCAUAUAAUUAUAAUAAUUACAGAGGGAGACAGACGGGGAGAGAGGGAGAGAGAGGAGAGAAAGGGAGAGAGAAGGAGAGAGAGAGACAGUACAGGGAGAGAGAAUGAGAGAGACAGGGAGAAAGACAAAGAGAGGAAAGAGAGAGAGGGAGAGGGAGAGAGAGAGAGAGAGAGAGUAACGGAGAGAGGAGGUCGCCGGAGCCUUCUCAGGCCGGCGGCAGUGGCGGCGAAGAUUAGGAAGAAGGAGAUGGAAUGAGGAAGAUGGGGGACAGUUUUGUAAUUUAACGCUUUCUGAUAAAUAAUUCGCUGGGAACUAAUUUGAUGUCGGAUUGUAAAAUAAAAUUCAUAUUUGGAUUCCUUGUGAAAAGUUAGAUGGAAUGAGCUUUUGAAUCAAAUGAUUUGGAUGAAAAAUAAGGGAGUUAUGAGUGGUCAAAGUUUGGCCAUGGGUGUUGACUUCGGGGAGAGAGAAACUAGAUGAGUAUGUUGGAGAAGAUGAUGACGUGGCAUCUUCUGAUUGGUUAGAAUAUUGAAAAUUAGUAUUUAAUUAAUUUGAGAGAUUAAACGAGGAAAUUAGUAAAAGUGUAAAACAUGAAAGUUUAA